Molecule: RNA transcript, 5867 nt
Organism: Ictalurus punctatus (channel catfish)
Lineage: Eukaryota; Metazoa; Chordata; Actinopteri; Siluriformes; Ictaluridae
Gene: rfxap
Gene name: regulatory factor X-associated protein
Exons: 4
Source: RefSeq, a predicted model, not a curated record
UCCGAACUACAUCCGGAACAAUAGCAACUAAUUUGCCUGUUGUUGCUGCAAACCUCAUACAUGUCAACUGCGCCGACUCUAUUUACACACGUUCUUUUUAAAAUCCUCAAUCAGUGAGGAUUAUUUUUUUAAAUAUAUAUGUGUAUAUAAUAACUGAGCUUCUCAGUAAACAUUCGGCGACGUGUUGUGUCCUGUUAGCCCGUAGAGCUUCAUGCUAGCCGCUAGCCGUCAGUGCAGCGCUUCUGACUUUCUUCAGGUUAUUUAUAAAGCAGAACACAACAUGAGUGAGAACGACAGCGCAAACCAUGAGGCGACUGCUAGUAAAGAAGGCCAGAUGUUUCUCUCCGGGAACAAAAGCACAAGUGUAAACAGUUCCCCUCCGCAGGGAGACUCUGUGUUUGACAUGGACGACCCGGAGGAGGAAGAGGAGAGCGACGCGCUGGACACAGCCGAGGCGAGAGAGAGCGCGCCGAGCCCGGCCGAGCCAUGCGACGAGAGCGCGCCUAAGCGCUGCGUUUACGACGGCUGCUCUGAGACUAGCGCUCUGGGUGCCAAGCAGAGGAAACCGUGGAUGUGUAAAAAACACCGCAACAAAAUGUAUAAGGACAAGUACAAGAAGAAGAAGAGCGACCAGGCCAUGGCGUCUGGGAAAUUAGAAGAAGGCUCAGAGGAGAGGCCUGUGUCUGUAACAAAGCAGCGGCUCGGCGCUAUUGGAGAGCGACCAACAAGACCUUCACUCAUAGAGCAAGUGUUAAACCAAAAGAGGCUGAAUGUCUGAUGAGGUUGGAGAAUACAUGGCAAGGGGUCUGAGACCAUUCCUCCAUACAGAAUCUCUCCAGAUCCUUCAAAUUUCGAGCUCCACGCUGGUGGACUCUCCUCUUCAGUUCACCCCACAGGUUUUCUAUGGGUUUCAAGUCAGGGGACUGGGAUGUCCGUGGCAGGAUCUUGAUUUUGUGUCUCUCUUGCGGAGUCCAGAGGUCAUCAGUUUUCUCCAGCAGCAACAGCGUCUUCUCACCAUGCAGACGCAAUCUCAGAGACAUGACCAGCAAAGCUACUGAGCACCGUGUGUGCUGACAUUUUACUGGGGAUUGUACACACCGUACAAGUACUUUUAAGAAGAGCUUAUUAAGCUUAAGAAAGCAUGAAGGAUUUGGACUUGGAUGUUACACUGUAGUCUCCACUGUGGUGUGAGGUCGCACAUUUCAUCACAGCCUGGAUGGGCUAUCAUGAUUUUUAGUAGCAGUUCUACUGUAUAUAAAAUAAUUUUUAAGCUACCACUUGGGCCUUUAUAACAUGCUGUUAUUUUAUGCAUUAUAAUGCAUUUGUCAUUUUAAAACAAUUAUGUGAAAGCAGCUACAUGGUAUCACUAGUAGGUGAUUCUAGUGAUUUUUUGUCUGUUCAUAGAAAUGAAUUUUUUUUAACCAUUUAUAGUGAUGUGAUAUUAAUUCUUAUAUAUAAAGCUGUGUACAUGCAUCCUUAUUGUACAGUGGUGCUUGAAAGUUUGUGAACCGUUUAGAAUUUUCUAUAUAGCUGCAUAAAUACGACCUAAAACAUCAUCAUAUUUUAAGUCCUAAAAGUAGAAAAGAGAACACAAUUAUACAAAUGAGACGCAAAAUAUUAUACUUGGUCAUUUAUUUAUUGAGGAAAAUGAUCCAAUAUUACAUAUCUGUGAGUGGCAAAAGUAUGUGAACCUCUAGGAUUAGCAGUUUUUUUUAAAGGUGAAAUUAGAGUCAGGUGUUUUCAAUCAGACAGUCAGGUGUGAGUGAGCCCCCUGUUUUAUAUAAAGAAAAGGCAUCUAUCAAAGUCUGACCACUACACAUGUCUGUGGAAGUGAUUUCUGAGGAGCUCAGAGAGUUGUUGAUGCUCAUCAGGCUGGAAAAGGUUACAAAACCAUCUCUAAAGAGUUUGGACUCCACCAAUACACAGUCAGACAGAUUGUGUACAAAUUGAGAAAAUUCAAGACCAUUGUUACCCUCCUCAGGAGUGCUCGACCAAUUAAGAUCACUCCAGUAGCAAGAUGUGUGAUGGACCAUGAAGUCACAAAGGAACCCAGGGUAACUUCUAAACAAAUAAAGGCCUCUCUCACAUUGGUUAAUAUUCAUGAGUCUAACAUUAGGAGAACACUGAAAAACAGUGGUGUGCAUGGCAGGGUUGCAAAGAGAAAGUCACUGCUUUCCAAAAUGAACAUUGCUGUCCUUCUGCAGUUUGCUAAAGGUCACAUGAACAAUUGGAAAAAAAUUUUGUGGACGGAUGUGACCAAUAUAGAAAUUAUUUAUUUAAAUAAGAAGGAUAAUAUUUGGAGAAAGGUAAACACUGCAUUCCAGCAUAAGAACCUUAUCCUAUCUGUGAAACAUGGUGGUGGUAGUAUCAUGGUUUGGGCCUGUUUUACUGCAUCUGAGUCAGGACGGCUUGCCCUCAUUGCUGGAACAAUGAAGUCUGAAUUAUACCAGUGAAUUCUAACGGAAAACGUCAGGACAUCUGUCCAUAAACUGAAUCUCAAGAGAAAGUGGGUCAUGCAACAAGACAAUGACCCUAAGCACACAAGUCAUUCUACCAAAGAAUGGUUAAAGAAGGAUAAAGGAAUGGCCAAGUCAAAGUCCUGACCUUAAUCCAAUAGAAUUGUUGUGGAAGGACCUGAAGCAAGCAGUUCAUGUGAGGAAACCCACCAAUAUCCCAGAUUUGAAGCUGUUCUGUACUGAGGAACUGUACUGAGGAAUGGGCUAAAAUUCCUCCAAGCUGAUGUGCAGGACUGAUCAACAGUUACCGUAAAGGUUUAGUUGCAGUUAUUGCUGCACAAGGGGCUCACACCAGAUACUGAAAGCAAAGGUUCACAUACUUUUGCCACUCUCAGAUAUGUAAUAUUGGAUAAUUUUCCUCAAUAAAUAAAUGACCAAGUAAUUGGAAAUUUCUAAAGGGUUCACAAACUUUCAAGCACCACUGUAAAUAUGUGACUAAGUAUCACAUUCUUUUUAUACAGGUACUAAAACUUGGGAUAACCUGGCUGAAGUUUUAGGAAUCUCAAUCUCAAAUACAUUUGAAUAAUUGAUCAUUUCUGUCUUCAUGUUGAUUUGUUUAGUUUUGUGUUCGCAUGAGGUUUGUUUUGUUUGCGAUAUUCUUUAAAGCUCAAGCAAGUGUGACCACACAUGACUGAGAGGGAAAUUCUGUAUUUCAAAAAAUAGGAAAAAAAAUCAAGCAUGUAAUAGGAUUCACAAUGUAGACAUGUUGCCAACACAAAACAAACAUCAAGCUAACAUUGCUACUACUGACUCUUUCCUUAAUCUUCCAUCACUGUGUUGCUCUCUAGACGGUACAGAAAUCAAAUUAUGGAAUAUUGGGCUUUUUGAUAAAAAAAAACAAGGACUAAACAGAAACGGUCCUAAUACUCUAGCUAUUCGAUGCAAAAGAUGCCUUAAAGUCAUUUGAAGUCUGUGAUAGCCUACUGGUACCAUGAACCUUUAGAGAAAACUGAGAUGGUGGUUUGGACACUGCUUUCUCCUGUGCUGAUCCUCAGGUUGUGCUGUGAGUUAUGGAGUGUACAUACAGUGUUAGGACACGGAUGAGAUAGGGUUGUGUGGGGAACCCAUUUGGGUUAGAACUUUAUCAAGCCAUUGCAGAGGUCCGUGCAGGUGGAUCUCAAUCCAGCAAGGGGUGCUCGUGACAUCCUGGCGGUGGUAUUCUGCACCCCAGCCCUGUGGGAGAAAAAGACGGUGUUGUACAGUACUAACCAUAACAGUGUUUUCAGAAAGCUUAUUAUAUCUAUUAGGGGUGGAGAAAAUAUGAAAAUGAAUGGUAUAGUAAUAUUUUUUGAAAAACUAUCAGUUUAUCAGGGUAUAUUUGCUAACAAUUUAGUAUUUGUUUGAGGAUGAAAUUAACUGGAAUAGAAUAUUUACGUUUGCUCUUUAAAGGUUUUAAAGUCUGUUCUUAAAGUCUUGUAGUAUAAUUCAGUGGAUGGACCACAUGUAGAAUCAUCAUCAUCAUUACCUAUACUCAUAUAUCAUAAUCUUAAUGUUGUAACAUUUCAGAUUACUGUGGCAUUGUGCCAUAGGGCCCAAUUACACCCCUGAUAUCCAUAUAGACUGUUAACAAGACAAGACACUGGACUUUUAUGGCAAGAACGUGCAUUCAUUUUCUGCACAGGAUUCUGUAGCAGAGCCAUGCAGAGAGCUUCAGAUGGUCAGGUAUGCUAAAUAGGGGCACGUGCAUCAAAAUUCAAAACAACAACUACAGGAUAGCCUGCUGAACUACAACAUAUUCAAAAAGAAGAUUCUUAAACCACCCCAUAUUAUAUUAGAUUGACAUUGAUCAAAUUAUAUACCAAAUGUUUCAUAUAUUUUAUUAAUAUUGAAAGCCAAUAAUAUAAACAUAAUAAAGUAAAAUUUAAAUUCACAACUUGGUUUGUGAAUCAAAAUUCUAGCUACAGUGGAGGCACGUUUUGAUCCAAACACAAACCAGUUUUAUAAAUAAAUGAUAAGGGGCAAAAUAACAUUUGUAGUGGAAAUGUUAGUGUCAAACUGGCUAUUUCACAAAGCUACUAUCACUAAGCAAUACAUAUACAUACAUACAUACAUACAUAUAUCAGGUCUUAGUUGAUCGAUCGGUAUCAGUUCUUAGAUGUAAGUGGAGACUUCUCCACGCAAAACCGAGGUUAAAUUUGGUGUUCCACAAAGUUCUGUAUUAGGCCCACUGCUUUUUACUUUAUAUAUGCUACCUCUAGGUCAAAUUAUUCAUAAACAUGAAAUUAGCUUCCACUGUUAUGCUGAUGAUACACAGUUGUAUGUUUCAGCAAAGUCAGAUGACAGACAGCAGCUUAGUACAGUUGAGGAAUGUGUAAAGGACAUUAGACGUUGGAUGCUUAUUAACUUCCUCUUACUUAAUUCUGAUAAGACAGAAGCACUUCUACUAGGACCACAUGUAGCUAGAAGUAAGUUUUCUGAUCACACAGUAACUCUGGAUGGACUUUCUGUUUCGUCAUCUGCAGUAGUAAAAGACCUUGAAGUAAUUAUUGACUCCAGCCUAUCAUUUGAUGCUCAUGUAGAUAAUAUUACUAGGAUAGCCUUCUUUCAUCUCAGAAAUAUUUCUAAGAUAAGAAAUACUAGUUCAUGCAUUCGUCACCUCUAGACUAGAUUACUGCAAUGCCUUACUGUCUGGAUGUUCCAGUAGGAACAUAAACAAACUCCAGUUAGUCCAGAAUGCAGCUGCUAGAGUCCUAACUAGAACAAGAAGAUACAACCAUAUCACACCGAUAUUAUCAAUACUGCAUUGGCUCACAGAGAAAUCACGCAUUAAUUAUAAAAUACUAUUAUUAACCUAUAAAUCACUAAAUGGUCUCAGUAUCUAAGUGAACGUUUGGUCAAAAGGUGCAGGCUAUUUGUCGGUACAUUGAAUAGUGAAGGCUACAGCAGGGGGGAAGAUUUUUCGCUUAUAGAGCCCCACUGUUAUGGAACAGUAUUCCAAUUAGUUUUCGGGACUCAGACACAGUCUCAGUGUUUAAGUCUAGGCUUAACCCUCUUACGCCGUAUGGCCGAAAAACCGGCUUGCCCGUCUUUGAUCUAUUCCCGUAAGGUCGAUAUACCGGCUUGGUCGUCUAUGCCAAAUCCCCGUAAGGCCGAUAUAGCGGCUUUACAGUGUAAACGUUAUCCCCGUAAGGCCGGUGUACUGGCAUUACUCUGCUAUGAUUCCUUACUUAUAUAAUUAUUAUUUUUUGACCCGGAAGGUUGAUGGCAUCAUGACGUCACGACGUGAUUACCUUAUUACGCUGGCAUUACGAUGAAGAUCCAAGCGUGAAUAUUGGUGUAAUAGUAGAAGUGAACUAAAAAUGCCAAAGCGAAAAGCUAAUCGUGUUCCAGCUAAAGUUACACCUACAGUGA